Alligator mississippiensis (American alligator) is the source of this 3170-nucleotide long non-coding RNA. RefSeq lists it as uncharacterized. The record is from RefSeq and is a predicted model, not a curated record. Lineage: Eukaryota; Metazoa; Chordata; Crocodylia; Alligatoridae. The transcript is spliced from 3 exons.
AUGACCCCCCCCCCCCCGCACCAGAAGAAUACUAUUUCUAAAAGAAGAUAGGGAGGAAAGACACAAAGAAAUACAGGGAGAACUGAAAGCUAGAAAGAAAAAAGGGGACGGGCUGGCUGAGCUGUGCAGCUGAGUUUGAGUCCCUUCAUUUUUUGAGUCCGAUGGCAGGAUAAGCCUGCAGAGGAUUGAAGAUAAACAUCCUACCAGCACAGGAUCGGUUGGCGAGUGGACGGGGUGCAGGGGUGGCGGAGCCCCGUGGAACAACGCACAUCAUAACUGUGAGUAUACCCGUGUCGAGGGACCCCUCUGAGAAGAUCUCCACUAGAACCCUCCUGGAAGAAUUUACUAGCAAAUUCAUGGCAGGUGAGACGAGGGAAGAGGGGGUAAGACCACCAUCAUCACACAGAGCUUCAUAGAACUUUAGAAACUGAUCAUUUAGGCUUCUGGGAGAUGUGAGUAGAUGGCCACGACAUUCUUGAAUUACCCGUAUUUUCAGUGUUUGAGUUCUUUAUAGAUGAUAAGCCAAUAACUUAUCUCCUGAUUUCCCAAAAUACUUUUUAACCCAGGGCUGUUCAACUGGAAGCCCAUGGCUCAUAUGUAGGGUUGCCAACUCCAUUUCAAUCUAUUCUGGGAGGUUUCCAGAUUGCCAAUGUGCCUACGACACACAAUACAAAUGUGCCCAUGUGCUUGCAUAUAUUAGGUACAGAUUACAGUGAAUAGAAUUAGGAUGGCAAAUGCACAUUAAUAUUACAUUUCAAACCCUACUGGACUACUGUAUAAAUCAGAUUCAACAUUUAAUAUUUCUUUAAUGAAUGCCCUAUCAUUUUUCUUCUUGGUGACUCUCAACAGUCUCCUGGAGAUUUAUAUCUAAUUUCUGGAGACCCCAGGGCAAUCCUGUAGGUUUGGCAACCUCAGGAACCAGCAGCGGGAAGGAGAGGAGUCCCGCACGCAUGUGUGCCCCCUUAACCAACUGACUGACCGGAGGCGGCGGUGGCAGCAGCAGCAGAGGAAUCGGCAGCGGGGGCAGCAGCAGCUGAUCCCCCGAAGGUAAGUGGGAUGGAGGAACCUGGCGCAGCUGAGCCGGAUCCGGAGGGGAAGCCCCCCGGGUCCCAUAUAGCUGAGCCGGUAGGGAGCUGUGCUCCCGAGCCGCACAGCGCGAACAGAGCGCGCAAACAGGCGCACUCUGUGAGAGCGCGCCGGCGUUUGCACAGGCGUUCGCGCCGGCAGGCGGGCAGGAAGGGCCAGGAGUGAGAGUCCUGUAGGGGUAGGGUAUAGACACCACACAGAUCUACAAACAGCAGCUCAGAAUGGUGUCUACGAGGAGUGCUGCUAGGGCCUCUGCCCAGGGGGACAAGGCUAACCUGGGCUGGUCUGAGGUCUCCACCCAGACCAAGCCCAUGGGGGAGCUGAUGUCCCCCUACCUCCUGGCCUGUGGGGGAUCCCCAGCAGGGCCGGGGGGGGCAGAGGUUGGGGGCCCCCACACCUGUCCGGCAGGUGCCCAUCUUAGGGCUCUGGAGGCACAGGUGAGGGAGCUCCGGGAGGAGGUUAGCAGGCUGAGGGGGAUCAGGGAGGCGGAGGAUGAAAUUGAUAGUUAUUUCCUUUCCCUGCAGGACCAGGCACCGAAGGAAGAAGCAGCCCGGGGAAUGCCCUCCACAGCAGAGUGGCAGACGGUCACAGCCAGGACCGGAGCAGCUCGCAGCGAACCGGUACCAGCUUCUCCAGUCUGACUGGUGAACAGGUCAAGAGAUCCAAGAGGACCCAGAGGAGGAGGUGACGAGUGCUCGUCAUAGGCGACUCCAUCCUGAAAGGUACAGAAGGGCCCAUCUGUCGCCAGGACCCCUCAGCACGAGAGGUAUACUGCCUCCCUAGAGCAAAGAUUCAGGAUGUGACAGAGGUAAUCCAGGCCAGGAUCAAGCCCACCGAUUACUACCCCAUGGUCCUAGUCCAUGUGGGUACUAAUGAUGCGGCCAGGAGAACCCCCGAUCACCUGAUGGCAGACUACAGUGCUCUGGGUGGCGUGCUGAGGGAGUUCGGUGCACAGGUGGUAUUCUCUUCCAUCCUACCAGUGAACAGACGCGGAAGAUGGCAUGAAAACUGCAUCCGAGAAACCAACUGGUGGCUUCGGCAGUGGUGUCUUGAGGCAGGCUUCGGCUUCCUGGGCAACGACCCGCACAUCACGACAAGGGACAUGCUCGGCUGGGAUGGGCUUCACCUGCCCCCCAAAGGGAAUGAGAGGAACAGAGGGAGAAGAGACUGAGUUCUAGAGGACCAGGAUCAACUGAGCUUUUACUGAACAGCACAAAAAUAAUCCUUUUACAGAGAGCAGAAAAGACAAUGGGUCCCCUCUUCCACUGGGAGGCCUGACAAGGACACACCAGCCACUAUACAAGUUCGUUUCUUUUCCUCAGGCAUCAAACUGAACUGCUGUGUUUUUCAAUCUUACAAUCACAAUGUGCAACACUGACUUUGCCCUAGAAAGUAACAAUUCUCAACUGAGGUGCUGCUUAGUAUUAGCUCUAUUAGGUGUGCAAACUCUGACACAUGGUUUCUUUCAAAUGUAAUUAGAAUUCUGCCUCUUUUAUAUUUUUUUUGGAUCAACUUCAUGGUUGGGAUAGACAAAGAUGAGUUUUCAGGUAUCACAGUAGGUCUUUGGGAGAGUAAGCAACACAGCAGAACUAAGUAGCAGAUGGAACAAAAGCUUGUGUGAAACUCCAUCUAUACCUAAAAACAAGACAUAAGAAAAACAGACAAGAGAGUUGCAAAAAUAGUUUGAUAAGGGAAAAACAAGAUCAUUCAGGAGGGCCAUUUUCUGAAAAUGUUGUCUUUGUCUAUUCCAGCCAUAGAGUUGGUCCAAUAAAAGACAUCAACUCAAGAAUUCUUGUCUCUUGCAUAUUUCCUGAACCAUCGUGGCAACAACAACACUUCAACUUCUACCUCUAAUUUUUAAAAAUGCUGUAGUUUUCGCCUUAAAAAGGCCUUCAUUGCAUCCCAGAGAGAAGCAAGAAGAGUCCGAGUAUAUCAUGAAUCUCUGAAAAGAAAUUGAUUUCCUUUAUAACAUGGUUCUGAAAAAUCUUACCUAUGGACAAUAAAGAGUUUAAUCUUCAUUAUUUAUAGUUAAGGUUACUAUAGACCCAUAAUCACAUCUAAUUUUCAAUUAUAAUACAUAUACA